RNAcentral lists this long non-coding RNA (889 nucleotides) under Piliocolobus tephrosceles (Ugandan red Colobus). Its description in RNAcentral is "lncRNA (ENSPTEG00000005397.1)". The record is from RNAcentral. Lineage: Eukaryota; Metazoa; Chordata; Mammalia; Primates; Cercopithecidae.
UUUGCACACGUUUCCAUUUAAUUUGGUUCUUGAUUUAGAUCCUACAUCUAUUAAAUAAAGAAAAUAAUUUUUUGCAAAAUAUAAUAUACAAUGGAAUCUAGAAAUGGAUGGGUUCAAACAAAUUAUAUCAUUCAUGUCAUUUUUACCAAAUGAUAUAUAUUCUUUUGCAAUAAAAGAAUAAUCUUUUGUUUUUUCUUCUAAUUUAUAAUUAUUGUCUGUUUGUAAAUUUGUGUUAUUUAAUGAUGACCCUUUUAUCAUUUGUUUAGAAGUAUUAAUAACCUGGUUGGUGUUAUUGUCACCGUCACCAUCUUCAUCCUCAUAUAUGAACUUUUUUUCAAAGUAUGUUUCUGUUAUCAAAACAUUUGCGAUUAAAUUUUUAUCUGUUUGCAUAUUACAAUUUAAUAAUAACCAAGAAUAUAUUUCUGUAUUAUUUAAAAUAUCAUUUCGUAUGUUCAUAUAAAUUCGACCUAAUUGGUUUUGCCCUUUUCUAUUAUAAACACCAAAAAAAAUAUAAAUCAUUAAUCAUAUUUUUAUUAUAUACUUUUUCAAUAUCCUCAACAUUAACUUUAUAUAUUAUUUCACGUUUUCCUGUUUGUUUUAGGCUUUCACGCAGUUUUUCAUACUUCCGAAAUUUAUCUCUUUGCAUAGAGUCUACCCACCUUAAUUUAUUUGUGUUCCACACAGGGUUCUACAAAAAAAAAAAAAAAAAAAAAAAAAAAAAAAAAAAAAAAAAAAAAAAAAAAAAAAAAAAAAAAAAAAAAAAAAAAAAAACAUGCUUAAUUGUGAUAUUUUAUUUUUUUGUUUUUAAGCUUUUCAUUGGGACGGAGAAAGUAUGAACUUCGAUGGAUAUUGGAAUAAAUUAGGGUCUUAUUUAUGUUAUCGUAUAUAU